RNAcentral lists this ribosomal RNA (430 nucleotides) under uncultured bacterium. RNAcentral describes it as "bacterial SSU rRNA". It matches the Rfam family "Bacterial small subunit ribosomal RNA", at positions 355 to 776 of the family's 1533-position model. The record is from RNAcentral.
UGGGGAAUAUUGCGCAAUGGGCGAAAGCCUGACGCAGCAACGCCGCGUGGGUGAUGAAGGCCUUCGGGUCGUAAAGCCCUGUCAACAGGGAAGAAACCUCGGGGAGCGAAUAGGUCUCCGGAUUGACGGUACCUGUGGAGGAAGCACCGGCUAACUCCGUGCCAGCAGCCGCGGUAAAACGGAGGGUGCAAGCGUUGUUCGGAAUUACUGGGCGUAAAGCGCGUGCAGGUGGCUUUUUAAGUUUCGUGUGAAAUCCCUCGGCUUAACCGGGGAACGGCACGGAAAACUGGAAGGCUUGAGGAUGGGAGAAGAGGGCGGAAUUCCCAGUGUAGAGGUGAAAUUCGUAGAUAUUGGGAGGAACACCGGCGGCGAAAGCGGCUCUCUAGACCAUUUCUGACACUCAUACGCGAGAGCGUGGGUAGCAAACAGG